This 248-nucleotide ribosomal RNA is filed under the name uncultured Roseburia sp. RNAcentral describes it as "partial 16S ribosomal RNA". It matches the Rfam family "Bacterial small subunit ribosomal RNA", at positions 524 to 771 of the family's 1533-position model. Lineage: Bacteria; Bacillati; Bacillota; Clostridia; Lachnospirales; Lachnospiraceae. The record is from RNAcentral.
UACGUAGGGGGCAAGCGUUAUCCGGAUUUACUGGGUGUAAAGGGAGCGCAGGCGGCGCGCCAAGUCUGGUGUGAAAGCCCGGGGCCCAACCCCGGGACUGCAUUGGAAACUGGCGUGCUGGAGUGUCGGAGGGGCAGGCGGAAUUCCUGGUGUAGCGGUGAAAUGCGUAGAUAUCAGGAGGAACACCGGUGGCGAAGGCGGCCUGCUGGACGGCAACUGACGCUGAGGCUCGAAAGCGUGGGGAGCAA